GGGACACGUGGUAUCCUGUCUGAAUAUGGGGGGACCAUCCUCCAAGGCUAAAUACUCCUGACUGACCGAUAGUGAACCAGUACCGUGAGGGAAAGGCGAAAAGAACCCCGGCGAGGGGAGUGAAAAAGAACCUGAAACCGUGUACGUACAAGCAGUGGGAGCACGCUUAGGCGUGUGACUGCGUACCUUUUGUAUAAUGGGUCAGCGACUUAUAUUCUGUAGCAAGGUUAACCGAAUAGGGGAGCCGAAGGGAAACCGAGUCUUAACUGGGCGUUAAGUUGCAGGGUAUAGACCCGAAACCCGGUGAUCUAGCCAUGGGCAGGUUGAAGGUUGGGUAACACUAACUGGAGGACCGAACCGACUAAUGUUGAAAAAUUAGCGGAUGACUUGUGGCUGGGGGUGAAAGGCCAAUCAAACCGGGAGAUAGCUGGUUCUCCCCGAAAGCUAUUUAGGUAGCGCCUCGUGAAUUCAUCUCCGGGGGUAGAGCACUGUUUCGGCAAGGGGGUCAUCCCGACUUACCAACCCGAUGCAAACUGCGAAUACCGGAGAAUGUUAUCACGGGAGACACACGGCGGGUGCUAACGUCCGUCGUGAAGAGGGAAACAACCCAGACCGCCAGCUAAGGUCCCAAAGUCAUGGUUAAGUGGGAAACGAUGUGGGAAGGCCCAGACAGCCAGGAUGUUGGCUUAGAAGCAGCCAUCAUUUAAAGAAAGCGUAAUAGCUCACUGGUCGAGUCGGCCUGCGCGGAAGAUGUAACGGGGCUAAACCAUGCACCGAAGCUGCGGCAGCGACACUAUGUGUUGUUGGGUAGGGGAGCGUUCUGUAAGCCUGUGAAGGUGUGCUGUGAGGCAUGCUGGAGGUAUCAGAAGUGCGAAUGCUGACAUAAGUAACGAUAAAGCGGGUGAAAAGCCCGCUCGCCGGAAGACCAAGGGUUCCUGUCCAACGUUAAUCGGGGCAGGGUGAGUCGACCCCUAAGGCGAGGCCGAAAGGCGUAGUCGAUGGGAAACAGGUUAAUAUUCCUGUACUUGGUGUUACUGCGAAGGGGGGACGGAGAAGGCUAUGUUGGCCGGGCGACGGUUGUCCCGGUUUAAGCGUGUAGGCUGGUUUUCCAGGCAAAUCCGGAAAAUCAAGGCUGAGGCGUGAUGACGAGGCACUACGGUGCUGAAGCAACAAAUGCCCUGCUUCCAGGAAAAGCCUCUAAGCAUCAGGUAACAUCAAAUCGUACCCCAAACCGACACAGGUGGUCAGGUAGAGAAUACCAAGGCGCUUGAGAGAACUCGGGUGAAGGAACUAGGCAAAAUGGUGCCGUAACUUCGGGAGAAGGCACGCUGAUAUGUAGGUGAAGUCCCUCGCGGAUGGAGCUGAAAUCAGUCGAAGAUACCAGCUGGCUGCAACUGUUUAUUAAAAACACAGCACUGUGCAAACACGAAAGUGGACGUAUACGGUGUGACGCCUGCCCGGUGCCGGAAGGUUAAUUGAUGGGGUUA
This 1487-nucleotide ribosomal RNA is filed under the name Escherichia coli. RNAcentral describes it as "partial 23S ribosomal RNA". It matches the Rfam family "Bacterial large subunit ribosomal RNA", at positions 419 to 1892 of the family's 2925-position model. Lineage: Bacteria; Pseudomonadati; Pseudomonadota; Gammaproteobacteria; Enterobacterales; Enterobacteriaceae. The record is from RNAcentral.